RNAcentral lists this ribosomal RNA (651 nucleotides) under Pimoa breuili. RNAcentral's name for it is "eukaryotic LSU rRNA". The stretch from base 421 to 651 matches the Rfam family "Eukaryotic large subunit ribosomal RNA", at positions 665 to 861 of the family's 3401-position model. The record is from RNAcentral. Lineage: Eukaryota; Metazoa; Arthropoda; Arachnida; Araneae; Pimoidae.
UGCUGCCGGAAUAUUUCGAAUGGAUCCCGCGAGCCGGGCCGUUCCGGUGCAGUGCAUCCGUGCCACCCGACGCAUUUGUUUCCCGUCCGAAGGACGCAGCAACCGGUUGGGAGACGGCCUUACGGGCGAGAGCCGGCAGGUGGCCGGUGGCGUUCCAUCCAGGUUCGCCGCCGGUUGUUAGCCUUCUCGCCGCGCGGCACGUAGCCCGACCGUGGUGUCGCGAGGCCCCUCAUGGGCCUCAUCGCCUCCUCCUUUGUGAUGCGGGUAGAAGCGUGGCAGGAGUUCGACCCCCUGCGGGCGCACGGACCGACUCCGUGGCCCAGCGUCGGGUCGUCUUCGUUGGUCGCGCAGGGCCCGUCGGAGUGUCGGCGGUUAGCUGCGAGUAGAUCGGUCACCCACCCGACCCGUCUUGAAACACGGACCAAGGAGUCUAACAUGUGUGCGAGUCAAUGGGUCUCGAUUAAGCCCAGAGGCGCAAUGAAAGCAAAGGCCGGAUUGAAAGCCGUGCUGUGUUGGGAUCCCUGACCCUCCGCGGUCGGGGCGCACCAACGACCCGUCCUGUUCCACUUGUGGAUUGGGCGGAGUCUGAGCAUACACGUUGGGACCCGAAAGAUGGUGAACUAUGCCCGGGCAGGACGAGGCCAGAGGAAA